Onychostoma macrolepis is the source of this 1515-nucleotide long non-coding RNA. RefSeq lists it as uncharacterized. Lineage: Eukaryota; Metazoa; Chordata; Actinopteri; Cypriniformes; Cyprinidae. The transcript has 4 exons. The record is from RefSeq and is a predicted model, not a curated record.
UGCGCGCGGUGCUGUCGGUACAAAUCUGCCUCACACUCCUCACCCCGUCAAACGGAGAGAUGGAGGUGAAAGAGAGAGAGAGAGAGAGACAGGUGGAGGGAGACACUUUAAUCUCGUCCUUCUGCUCGCGCUCGCACCUGCAGAACCUCUCUCGCGCGCUUGAAAGAGGUGCGCGUGCGGCCCCCGCGCGCCUCCACGAGUUUAACGCGCCCGGUUACCGGCUGCCGCUGCGAGGCCAUAAUAACAAACACAAGCUGUGAAGAGAAUAUUAUACCAUUUUAAAAGCCUCCUGCUCAGGCUCUUGGGAACCGAAGGGAUUCGAGUCUUAAAUGGACGGGUCUUUUGUUCAACAAGAUGGAUUGUGUAGAGCAUCCUGCAUUCAAUAGCUUAAAGACACCGGGAGAGACAGCGAGGCUGGAAAGGAAGGGACACAGCAAAGAGUGACAGGAAGAUGGAGGAAGAAAAGAAAAGAGUGCAUAACAGGAAAAAGUGUUCAUUUCUGUCAGGAUGGUGUGAGCGAAACGGAGGGAUGGGAGGAAGAGAUGAUUACAGCAGAGUAACUUUGGAGCAAAAGGACAGCGAGAGACGUUUCUGAAGCGUUGAAGGAGAUACGCGCACGAGAGAGGGAGAGGAAGCGAAGGGUCGAUUUAUCUUAUAUUGACAGGAGCGGCUUCAAACGAUGACCUUGAGGACUAAUGAGAGUAAAUGAGUGAAAUAUUUUUCACUUUUAAAAAGUGAAACUAUAAUCAAAUGGAAGCCUGAAAGAUGGACUAAUGAGCUUCAGCGAUGAUGAAAGCAUGCGUGAGAGAGAGCGAGGGAUACGGACUGAUAGAACGAGAGAGAGGGAGGUAGUCAUCUGGCAGAGCCUGCAGUGUCAGGCCCUCACUCCUGCCAUCUCAUUAGUUGACCUGACGACUGCCUGAUUAGAAUACGUUUGAUGAAAAUUUCAAGGAUUUUUCCCCCCCCUCAACAUUCAAAAUUUUUUGGUGUGAUUUAAUAAAUAUUGCACAACUUUUUAUUCCAGACAGAGAAACUGGGAGGUAAUUAAUUACGAUUAAAGCAGUCUGGACCGAGUUGAUUUACCGUCAUUAUUCGCCCCGAAAUCAACAAAUAUAUUCAAAACGUGGAGACAGAAAUGGACAAAUAUUCAGACGCACACAUCCAGAAACUUGUUGCCCACACACUCGCAUGCCAGAUGUUAUUUCACUCAACACAAACUGAAUUUGUACCCUUCAAAAUUAAUUGAACAUCUUAUUUCAAGCUGUCAAGUUUGUUCUAGAUGCUUCAUUCUUUGGUGUUUUCAUGCCGGUUUGCAAAACAUCUUUCUGUGCAUUAGUGCCACCAAAUGACUUAAUCUUUAUUUGGCGGCAUGGUGUAGAAGUAAUCUUGCUAAAGUGGAUUUGAUGUUUGUUUGGUGAUUUGCUUUUUGUCGUGGCUUUAGAAACAGUUACUUGUUUUUAAUGCUGUUUUCAGUGAACUAAAACACUAAUGUGCCUUUGUAAAAAUGUUUUUGAA